AAAAUACGGGAGGCAGCAGUGGGGAAUCUUGCACAAUGGGCGAAAGCCUGAUGCAGCGACGCCGCGUGCGGGACGAAGGCCUUCGGGUUGUAAACCGCUUUCAGCAGGGACGAGGCGAAAGUGACGGUACCUGCAGAAGAAGCCCCGGCUAACUACGUGCCAGCAGCCGCGGUAAUUUUU
This 180-nucleotide ribosomal RNA is filed under the name uncultured bacterium. Its description in RNAcentral is "partial 16S ribosomal RNA". It matches the Rfam family "Bacterial small subunit ribosomal RNA", at positions 333 to 528 of the family's 1533-position model. The record is from RNAcentral.